GAUGAACGCUGGCGGCGUGCCUAAUACAUGCAAGUCGAGCGAACAGACGAGGAGCUUGCUCCUUUGACGUUAGCGGCGGACGGGUGAGUAACACGUGGGUAACCUACCUAUAAGACUGGGAUAACUUCGGGAAACCGGAGCUAAUACCGGAUAAUAUUUCGAACCGCAUGGUUCGAUAGUGAAAGAUGGCUCUGCUAUCACUUAUAGAUGGACCUGCGCCGUAUUAGCUAGUUGGUAAGGUAACGGCUUACCAAGGCAACGAUCCGUAGCCGACCUGAGAGGGUGAUCGGCCACACUGGAACUGAGACACGGUCCAGACUCCUACGGGAGGCAGCAGUAGGGAAUCUUCCGCAAAGGGCGAAAGCCUGACGGAGCAACGCCGCGUGAGUGAUGAAGGUCUUCGGAUCGUAAAACUCUGUUAUUAGGGAAGAACAAACGUGUAAGUAACUGUGCACGUCUUGACGGUACCUAAUCAGAAAGCCACGGCUAACUACGUG
Molecule: ribosomal RNA, 497 nt
Filed under: uncultured bacterium
Lineage: Bacteria
Description: partial 16S ribosomal RNA
Rfam family: Bacterial small subunit ribosomal RNA
Source: RNAcentral